AUGCCAGGUGCCUUUGUCCACGCUGGGUGUGUACAGCUCCGAGAACGCAGUUGAGCUUCUGCAGGAGCAAGCGGCGGCAGUUACAGGAUCCUAGGCUGGUGUGUGUGUCACAUGCUGUGUCUGAGAAGAAAAAUAAAAGCAGGCAGAGAUGAGCCAGGCACCCACUGCAUCUCAGUGCCAGGUUGCUACAGGUGUCAGAAAUUCACCUCGCCCCGAGAAUCAUGAGACUGCAUUUCUCCUGGGUCUUUCUUCCUUUGUACUUCUCCUGCUCCGAAGCCCAGGUGGAUCAGAGCCCACAGUUGCUGGUUACUGGGGAAGGGAAGGUCUCCACCAUGUCCUGUGCUUUCACCAGCAAGUACCAAACCUUCCACUGGUACCAGCAGCUCCAAGGGCGAGGCCUGACCUACCUGCUGUCCGUCAGCCCUCAGGAGAACGCUACCGAGCAGCGGUUCAUGGGGCAGCCCCUGGAAGAUGGGAAACGCAGCUCCCUGCACAUCACCGACUCCCAGUUGGGGGACUCAGGCAGCUACCUCUGUGCUGUGAGAGCACAGUGACACAGGCUGUACUGGGAUCUGUGCAAAAACUCUCACCUUCUAAGAGACAGU
Non-coding RNA from Gopherus flavomarginatus (Mexican gopher tortoise), 605 nucleotides. NCBI's taxonomy places the organism in Eukaryota, Metazoa, Chordata, Testudines, Testudinidae. The record is from the annotation of a RefSeq genome assembly.